CCUACGGGAGGCAGCAGUGGGGAAUCUUGCGCAAUGGGCGGAAGCCUGACGCAGCGACGCCGCGUGCGGGACGAAGGCCUUCGGGUCGUAAACCGCUUUCAGCAGGGACGAGGCCCUCACGGUGACGGUACCUGCAGAAGAAGCCCCGGCUAACUACGUGCCAGCAGCCGCGGUAAUACGUAGGGGGCGAGCGUUAUCCGGAUUCAUUGGGCGUAAAGCGCGCGUAGGCGGCCUGUUAGGACGGGGGUCAAAUACCGGGGCUCACCCCCGGUCCGCCCCCGAUACCGGCAGGCUUGAGUCUGGUAGGGGAAGGCGGAAUUCCCAGUGUAGCGGUGGAAUGCGGAGAUAUUGGGAAGAACACCGGGGGCGAAGGCAGCUCACUGGACUGCAACUGACACUGAGGCUCGAAAGUGUGGGUAUCAAACAGGAUUAGAUACCCGGGUAGUC
Molecule: ribosomal RNA, 447 nt
Filed under: uncultured bacterium
Lineage: Bacteria
Description: partial 16S ribosomal RNA
Rfam family: Bacterial small subunit ribosomal RNA
Source: RNAcentral